RNAcentral lists this unclassified non-coding RNA (195 nucleotides) under uncultured fungus. Its description in RNAcentral is "sequence contains ITS1, 5.8S rRNA gene". The record is from RNAcentral. Lineage: Eukaryota; Fungi.
AAAUGAGAAUCGGUUCGCGCUGCGUGGGGUAAAAUCCUCGUAGCGCGUUACCGUCAACCUCUACCCUUGUAUAUUAUUCAAUUGUUGCUUUGGUGGGCCGCGACCCUCACGGGGAGCACCGGCUUCGGCUGGAGAGCGCCUGCCAGAGGACCCCAACUCUGUAUUAUAUGAAGUCUGAGUACUAUUAAAUAGUUA